Molecule: ribosomal RNA, 497 nt
Filed under: uncultured bacterium
Lineage: Bacteria
Description: partial 16S ribosomal RNA
Rfam family: Bacterial small subunit ribosomal RNA
Source: RNAcentral
GAUGAACGCUGGCGGCGUGCCUAAUACAUGCAAGUCGAGCGAACAGACGAGGAGCUUGCUCCUCUGACGUUAGCGGCGGACGGGUGAGUAACACGUGGAUAACCUACCUAUAAGACUGGGAUAACUUCGGGAAACCGGAGCUAAUCCCGGAUAAUAUCUUGAACCGCAUGGUUCAAUAGUGAAAGACGGUUUUGCUGUCACUUAUCGAUGGAUCCGCGCCGCAUUAGCUAGUUGGUAAGGUAACGGCUUACCAAGGCAACGAUGCGUAGCCGACCUGAGAGGGUGAUCGGCCACACUGGAACUGAGACACGGUCCAGACUCCUACGGGAGGCAGCAGUAGGGAAUCUUCCGCAAUGGGCGAAAGCCUGACGGAGCAACGCCGCGUGAGUGAUGAAGGUCUUCGGAUCGUAAAACUCUGUUAUUAGGGAAGAACAAAUGUGUAAGUAACUAUGCACGUCUUGACGGUACCUAAUCAGAAAGCCACGGCUAACUACGUG